CCAAGAUUGAAAGCUGGCGCCUUCGGCGUCCGCAUUGUAAUCUCAAGAAGUGUUUUCCGCUUCGGACCAUGCCUAAGUCCCUUGGAAAAGGGCAUCAUAGAGGGUGAUAAUCCCGUACAUGGCAUGGAGCGCCCGAAGCUUUGUGAUACGCUUUCUAAGAGUCGAGUUGUUUGGGAAUGCAGCUCAAAAUGGGUGGUAAAUGCCAUCUAAGGCUAAAUAUUGGGGAGAGACCGAUAGCGAACAAGUACAGUGAUGGAAAGAUGAAAAGCACUUUGGAAAGAGAGUUAAACAGUACGUGAAAUUGUCGAAAGGGAAGCGCUUAAAGUUAGACAUGCCUAUUGGGAUUCAGCCUUGCUUUUGCUUGGUGUAUUUCCCGGUGAGCAGGCCAGCAUCAGUUUCGGCUGUCGGAUAAGGGUUAGAGGAAUGUGGCCCCUCGGGGUGUUAUAGCCUUUAACUGGAUACGGCGGCUGGGACUGAGGAACGCAGCGUGCCUUUAUGGCGGGCCUUCGGGCACCUUCACGCUUAGGAUGCUGGCGUAAUGGCUUUAAGCGACCCGUCU
Molecule: ribosomal RNA, 559 nt
Filed under: uncultured Sympodiomycopsis
Lineage: Eukaryota; Fungi; Basidiomycota; Exobasidiomycetes; Microstromatales
Description: eukaryotic LSU rRNA
Rfam family: Eukaryotic large subunit ribosomal RNA
Source: RNAcentral